CACGUAGUUAGCCGGGGACUUCUUAGUCAGGUACCGUCUUUUUUCUUCCCUGCUGAUAGAAGUUUACAUACCGAAAUACUUCUUCCUUCACGCGGCGUCGCUGCAUCAGGGUUUCCCCCAUUGUGCAAUAUUCCCCACUGCUGCCUCCCGUAGGAGUCUGGACCGUGUCUCAGUUCCAAUGUGGCCGUUCACCCUCUCAGGCCGGCUACUGAUCGCUGACUUGGUAGGCCUCUACCCCACCAACUAUCUAAUCAGACGCGGGCCCAUCCUGUACCGUCUCGGCUUUUCACACUGUAACAUGCGUUACUGUGCGCUUAUGGGGUAUUAGCAGCUGUUUCCGGCUGUUGUCCCCCUGUACAGGGCAGGUUGCCCACGCGUUACUCACCCGUCCGCCACUAAGUCGCUUACUUCUUCCUCCCGAAGGAUUUAGUUGUAAGCGCUUCGUUCAACUUGCAUGUGUUAGCACGCCGCCAGCGUUCAUCCUGAGCCAGGAGUCAAAACUCU
This 504-nucleotide ribosomal RNA is filed under the name uncultured Lachnospiraceae bacterium. RNAcentral describes it as "partial 16S ribosomal RNA". The record is from RNAcentral. Lineage: Bacteria; Bacillati; Bacillota; Clostridia; Lachnospirales; Lachnospiraceae.